UACGUAGGAUCCUAGCGUUGUCCGGAUUUACUGGGUGUAAAGGGUGCGCAGGCGGACUUAUAAGUCAGUGGUGAAAUCUCGGCGCUUAACGCCGAAACUGCCUUUGAUACUAUAGGUCUUGAGUUUGGUAGAGAUCCGUGGAAUUCCGAGUGUAGCAGUGAAAUGUGUAGAUAUUCGGAAGAACACCAGCGGCGAAGGCAGCGGAUUGGGCCAAUACUGACGCUCAGGCACGAAAGCAUGGGGAUCAAACAGG
This 253-nucleotide ribosomal RNA is filed under the name uncultured prokaryote. RNAcentral describes it as "partial 16S ribosomal RNA". It matches the Rfam family "Bacterial small subunit ribosomal RNA", at positions 524 to 776 of the family's 1533-position model. The record is from RNAcentral.